Molecule: ribosomal RNA, 525 nt
Filed under: Corynebacterium aurimucosum
Lineage: Bacteria; Bacillati; Actinomycetota; Actinomycetes; Mycobacteriales; Corynebacteriaceae
Description: bacterial SSU rRNA
Rfam family: Bacterial small subunit ribosomal RNA
Source: RNAcentral
GAGCCACUUUUAGUGUGGUGGUUGGAAAGUUUUUUCGGUGCAAGAUGAGCUCGCGGCCUAUCAGCUUGUUGGUGGGGUAAUGGCCUACCAAGGCGUCGACGGGUAGCCGGCCUGAGAGGGUGUACGGCCACAUUGGGACUGAGAUACGGCCCAGACUCCUACGGGAGGCAGCAGUGGGGAAUAUUGCACAAUGGGCGGAAGCCUGAUGCAGCGACGCCGCGUGGGGGAUGACGGCCUUCGGGUUGUAAACUCCUUUCGACAGGGACGAAGCGUAAGUGACGGUACCUGUAUAAGAAGCACCGGCUAACUACGUGCCAACAGCCGCGGUAAUACGUAAGGUGCGAGCGUUGUCCGGAAUUACUGGGCGUAAAGAGCUCGUAGGUGGUUUGUCGCGUCGUCUGUGAAAUUCCGGGGCUUAACUUCGGGCGUGCAGGCGAUACGGGCAUAACUUGAGUGCUGUAGGGGAGACUGGAAUUCCUGGUGUAGCGGUGAAAUGCGCAGAUAUCAGGAGGAACACCGAUGGCG